This is a long non-coding RNA of Pogoniulus pusillus (Red-fronted tinkerbird), 3172 nucleotides long. RefSeq lists it as uncharacterized. The record is from RefSeq and is a predicted model, not a curated record. The transcript has 5 exons. NCBI's taxonomy places the organism in Eukaryota, Metazoa, Chordata, Aves, Piciformes, Lybiidae.
CCAUGGGCUGCAGGCCGUUAGCAGUUUUGAGUCAGCCAGGACAGGUGGCCUGAGCUGGCUCACAGGUGUACCCCAUACCAUGAGCAUUACACUCAGUACAAAGGAGCUUUCUGAGGAGAGGGGAGCAUCUUACUUGGACUUCUUCUGACCCUGCUUCCCUGAUCCUGAGGGCUGUGUUCCUGUUUUGUGUGUCUGUUGCACAUUAGUGGUCAUUGUUGUUGAGCUGUCAGAGAUUGUGAUCAGACUACAGACUUCCCCCCGUCCCCAUUGUCUGCACAAGAGUGUAAAUCUGUACUUUACUUCAAGAUCCUUAUGAACAGCCCCAGUGCUUUCUUCUGCUGUUCUGGGUAACCUGUGUGUAUUUCAGCCUUGCUUGAGGCCAACAGGAGAAUUUGCAGUGGACUCACCGAGAGAAAGCCUUGACUUGGGUUGAGUAGAGCUGACAUCUGGAUCCACAACAACCACUUCAUCCAGUGUUUCUCUAGCUGUUCUCUCCAUCAUGCAAUAGGCACCCUCUGCUUCUCCCACAUAUUCUGGCUUGUGACAGAUGCACUUCUCUGGUAAAAGAAGGUGGAACAUAUUUAUGAGAAAAGCAGACAUGGUCUGAAUGCUUCAGAGGAUCAUCUUAGCAGAUGAUAAUUCAUUUCCUACCAUCAGUCAGUGCCUGGAAUUACCUGCUUUUGGAGGAGAAUGCCAGGAUGAUGUCACCCAGAGGCCACAGGGAAAUAAUGCAGUACAAAUGGGAAAUUGCAUUUCCCUUGCUUGAGUGCCUCUGCCGCUAUUUGUUGGAGUAGGUUUUGCAAUAAGAUUUUGUGCCCUUUCCAGUGGUUCUGCUGCACCCAAAGAAUAUGCAUGGUGAAAAGCACAGCAAGUCUUGAGCUGCACCAAUGCUGUUUGCAAUCACAGAGUCACUCACUGAGCCAGGGGCACAGUAAGUGGCUUUAGAGUCUCCAUUUUCCAUGCUUUGCACUGCAUAUGGCUCCCAUACUAGUGGAGAGCCUGUGUGGAGUAGCAGACAUCCUCCUUCUCCCUGGCAUUCCAGGCCCACAGUAGGUGGCUUUAGAGUCUUCCUUUUCUGUGCUUUGCACUGCACAUGGCUCCCAUUCUAGCAGAGAGCCCAUGAGGGGCAGCAGACAUCCUGCUUUUCCCUGGCAUUCCAGGCCCUAGGCAUUCCUGCUGUUGUUAGUCCACCUUGAUGCCAAAAGAAAGCUUGCUGGAUCCAGCUGCAAUCACCCAUUUGCAGUCUAUCUCUGUGGUGCCAUAUCUACAGUUAUCACCUAUCUGUGUGUCCAUAUCUACAAUUAAUCCUUGUCUACACCUGCCAUUCACUCACUGGCAGCUGAUGCCCUACGAUAUGGCCUGACAGGGGGCAAGCUGUCUUUCCAUAGUUUCAGGUCAGGGCAGGUUGACUGGAUUUUGUCUUCCCAUAGAAGUGGUACCUUUCCUUCUCUCUCCUGGGUGCUUUACUGAAGAAGCCACACCAAUACCUUGGAGAAACAGGGUUCGGUCAUGUACAGGUGAGCUCUUUGUGGGUUGCCUGUUGCCCCAUUUCCCUUGUUGGGAAAAGUGCUGCCCAUUGGGACCACUCUGCAAGAUACUCCUGAAGGUGCUUGCUUUUAUGCUGAAGACAAAUGGAGCAGAGUCUAAAUUCAGUUUAAAACUCUUCUUAUUCUAAUGCCACAUCUCACAUUCCUCCAAAACAGGAGUAAAGAUGGUGCUUCUUGGGGAACUGAACAACCUCAGCUUUGUUUUGCUCUUUUCUAACCCCAAAUCUCUUCUCUACGAGACAACAACAAUGUGCUGGCAUUGUCAUAGUCAUCGCAGGCUGGGGCUAGCAUACACAAGGCUACCCUGUUUUGUGACCUUCCUUGUCUCAUGGGAGAUUUGAGAUUUAAAUGCUCACUUGGUCUGUACCUCCUUCUUUGAGACUGACUAGCCUGAGUCACUUCUGAGAAACUAUUAGCAGAGUCUCAAACACAGUUAAGGUCCUAUCAGUUUAAUUAAAGUAGAUCAUUUGACAGAGAAACCCUGUGAAAUGUUCCCAUAAAGAAGCAAGCUACACAGUGACUGCUCCCCUGAGUAAUCACCAGAGGCUGCUAUCAGCAAUGUAAUCAGCAAUAGCUGCUAUCGCAGGGCACUGAAGAGCUUAACUUGAAACUAAGACCUCAACACAAGCCAAGAAACUGUUGUGAUGAGUGACUAAGGACUAAUCAUGUCCACUACAUCGUGAGAGUACCUGAAAUGUAAACAGAGGAGCCACCAUAAGGUGGUAUGAGACACAGGUCUAUAGGAAAAUAAGCUUCACUGAUUCUCCUGCAUGAAAGGCAGCCUCUUCAAUAUGGACAAGGUUUUUAGACACUGCUUUUAUGCUAUUAAAGGCACAAGGUCAAUCAGUAAAAACUUUAACCAAAGCAAAGUUAUAUUUAAAGACUUUCUUUAUUCCAUUAUAUCUCUGUCCUGCAGUAGCUUUUGAAGAUGCAGUAUCCUGUGAAUGAGGCUGGAUAUAAUUCCAGACACAGCAUGGAGAAUAAAGCAUUUAGGGUCAACACAGCAUUUACUUCAUGGUUCUCCAGCCCUGAGCAGUGACAGGUGCUGGGCCGCCACAGUGGUACAGAACUCACCUCUUGAGACUCAAACGCAUUUGACAGACAUAUCUUCCAUCUUCUAUAGGUUUCACUUUGUCUACAAACACAGAUUAGUGUUUGCAGAAACUAACCACAGGUUAGAUUAGUGCAUUGCUCCCAUGGGAUGCAGACUGUAGGGUUUAGGCAAUGCUCUGUGGCUAACAAGAGCUAGCAAGUUAUAACUGAGUCAUUCCCCUGGGUGAAACAUGCCCUGCUCUGAUGAUGACAGGAGCAGCUGAGCAUCCUCCCAGAAGAUGCCAAGCAUCCACACAUGGGCAGUGUCUUCCAUCACGAUUAACCACGCAUUACUUGCAGUGGAAGAGCCACCAAGGCUAUCAGUUUUGCAUUUAUUCUUGUCAUGAUAUCAGGCUGCUAACAAGAUUAGAAAGAAAACACUUAGUGUAGCCUUUUGGUAGUGGGACAAGAUUUAUAUUCUUAGCAUAAGCUGCUUUGGAAAAGCUUCUUUUACUGCGCAUUCAUCACUUGUUAGUGAUGUUUUAUUACAAUGAUAGCUAUCUCAAGAAGCUGUUUUAAGGUCCCUACCUGUU